AUAUCACAUGUUUCGCUGAAUUCUCGAGAUGAAGAUGGAUUUCACAUUUCCUAAUUUAUGUCAAUCACGAACCUGGACGUGCAUACGUCCAUAAUCUUAAACAAUCAGUCAUUUCCAUAAUUUGCGAGACCCGUGAACUCUAUAAAAACCGAAGCUUCCAUCACCGAUUGACCCCGGACAAACCUGUUUCGACACAAUCUCACACACACCAACAACAUCUUUUCGAAUCAUUUGGAGUCGCCGGAGCUCUUGCCGGAGCUCUUGCCGGAGAACUGGAAGUCACCGGAGUUGGAGGUCUCGCCGGAACCGGAGUCGCGACUAAGUCUCGAGUCUGUUCGUUUCGGAUAAUCGCUUGCUCGUUCUCUUGGAUUGUUCCAAUCCUACUAGUGCAUACUUCCAAGAAAUCUCCAUACGCGACAAAUGUUGAUAGACGAAGUGAUCAAGAAAACAAGCUAGGAUGAACCUAGAAACCCAUCUAGAAUAAACAAUGUUUUGAACUAUUUUUGGUUAUGCAGUAGUUUAGCAUGGUUCAACAUAUACCCCGAGUAUACCAAUAACUGUUGGAGAGCUUGCAAGGCUGCGUAAAUUAACCCGGAUUGGGAAAACUGGGAGGGAUUGGACAAUACGACACGAUGUGUAUCUUUAUGCUUGGUACCAUCAUCAUGAAACCAUUGUGGAGGGUCAAACAAUCACCUCUCAUCCCGUCGGAGACGAUUACAUGUCGUGGUUCAUGCGCCAUACAAUACUUUACCUGACUAGUUCACAUGCGUGGUUUUCAAGAUGAUGGCCCUCGUGUCCAAAUGCUGACGGACGCAAUGGGAGUAAUACAACGGUCAGAUGGUUUGGAGUUCACCCAAGGUACCGCUUAUCGGGCUAUGGAAAUGUCACGCCAACAAGGAUAUUCAUAAUAUUCGAGUCAUUUGACAACGGACCCUGUGGACCUAACCUCUUAUCCUCGUCCGCAAAGGUUAAGCAGGUGACGCCAACGUCAGCAUGGAGGUUCAAACGUUGACGGGGCUGGCACUUCAAAUUGGGAUAUGAACCUGGAACAAGUGGGUCCAUCAUGUGUGAACGAAAAUCAAAAUAAUGAUCAAUAGGGUAUACUCGGGCUAGAGAAUAUGACUGUGGUGGUAAUCAAAAUUUUGAUCUGAGGAUCUAGAUUUUUGGGCCCUUAACAGAAUAUCCGACCUUAUCUCUGUGGAUGUUGACAACCAAAUAUAUACUGGUAAUGUCCAACACCAAACCAACAAUGAGCCAGUCGGGACCCAAAAUAAUCAACCGGUUUACAACCCCCACAUCACACAUGUUGACCUUUUUUCCAGAUAGCCAGACUGACUACAAUUAUUUUGCACCAAAUCAAAGUCAAGAAGAUCAUCGUGCCCAAUAUUCAAAUGUAAUACUCACCCCCUUAGACUGGGGCCAAAAUUUAGAUUUGAACCUCUUUAAUCAUCAACCACCACCCAACUAACUGUAUUAUAAUCCAAAUUUUAUUGUAAUCGUAAGUUUGUUGUAUUGUA
Helianthus annuus (common sunflower) is the source of this 1517-nucleotide long non-coding RNA. RefSeq lists it as uncharacterized. The record is from RefSeq and is a predicted model, not a curated record. NCBI's taxonomy places the organism in Eukaryota, Viridiplantae, Streptophyta, Magnoliopsida, Asterales, Asteraceae. The transcript is spliced from 5 exons.